GACGAACGCUGGCGGCGUGCCUAAUACAUGCAAGUAGAACGCUGAAGGAGGAGCUUGCUUCUCUGGAUGAGUUGCGAACGGGUGAGUAACGCGUAGGUAACCUGCCUGGUAGCGGGGGAUAACUAUUGGAAACGAUAGCUAAUACCGCAUAAGAGUAGAUGUCGCAUGACAUUUGCUUAAAAGGUGCAAUUGCAUCACUACCAGAUGGACCUGCGUUGUAUUAGCUAGUUGGUGAGGUAACGGCUCACCAAGGCAACGAUACAUAGCCGACCUGAGAGGGUGAUCGGCCACAAUGGGACUGGGACACGGCCCAGACUCCUACGGGAGGCAGCAGUAGGGAAUCUUCGGCAAUGGACGGAAGUCUGACCGAGCAACGCCGCGUGAGUGAAGAAGGUUUUCGGAUCGUAAAGCUCUGUUGUAAGAGAAGAACGAGUGUGAGAGUGGAAAGUUCACACUGUGACGGUAUCUUACCAGAAAGGGACGGCUAACUACGUG
RNAcentral lists this ribosomal RNA (495 nucleotides) under uncultured bacterium. RNAcentral's name for it is "partial 16S ribosomal RNA". It matches the Rfam family "Bacterial small subunit ribosomal RNA", at positions 28 to 507 of the family's 1533-position model. The record is from RNAcentral.